CCCGGGACGUUCGCCGUAUUUGAUUUUUAUCCAAGGACAUGCACACAUUUGACUCUUCAAUCCUAAUAAAUACAUCCCUUCCAUGCCCUAGGAGUUUCGAUGUUUGGAUAGGGGGCAAACAUGGUUGCGACGGGUAACGGAGGGUUAGGGCACGACCCCGGAGAAGGAGCCUGAGAUCGGCUACAAGCUGCAAGGAAGGAAGCAGGCGCGCAAAUUACCCAAUCCCGACUCAGGGAGGUAGUGACAAUAAAUACUGAUACAGGGCACUAUUGGGUCUUGUAAUUGGAAUGAGUACAAUUUAAAUCCCUUAACAAGGAACGAUUGGAGGGCAAGUCUGGUGCCAGCAGCCGCGGGAAUUCCAGCUCCAAUAGCGUAUAUUAAAGUUGUUGUGGUUAAAAAGUUCGUAGUUGAACCUUGGGCCUGGCUGGACGGUCCGCCUCACCGCGUGCACUGGCCCACUCCGGGCCUUUC
This 471-nucleotide ribosomal RNA is filed under the name Hapsidospora globosa. Its description in RNAcentral is "bacterial SSU rRNA". It matches the Rfam family "Eukaryotic small subunit ribosomal RNA", at positions 224 to 697 of the family's 1831-position model. Lineage: Eukaryota; Fungi; Ascomycota; Sordariomycetes; Hypocreales; Bionectriaceae. The record is from RNAcentral.